AUGCUUAUCCAUCCAUCAAUCUUUCCAUCCAACCAUCAGUCUCCAUCCAUCCAUAGAAUCUGCAGCAAAACCAAACACAGAUUUGCAAUGUUUUUUAUUUUAUUUUAUUUUAAUGUCAAUGUAAUCAUGAUUUAACUGUACACGGGUUUAAGUCAAACAAGGGUUUGAACAUUUGUGUUUCUAUUUUCAUCACUUUUUUUUUUUGAGGCUUGUCAAACAAUAGCGCCCCCACCAGCAGCAGCAGCAGUAGCUAUAAGGUCACACCUGUAAAAUGUCUUAAAAGAUUGGAGUUCAUUGGACAAAAUUAGAUAAAUUAACAAAUUAUUGACAAAUUAACUCUGUCGGUGUAGUGUGUGGUUUGAGUUUUGCCCUAACAGUCAUGCUUUCCUAAAUUGUUUCACUUUCCUUUCUGUCGUCUGUCUGAUGUCAUUUGGGUUAGAGCAUAAACAAUUUCAAAAUUGGGGGAAUGUUUCCUCUUAUAGGUUAAUUAAGUUCUUUUCUAUUCUAUUUUUAACUUGAUGACCUUUUCUGUCAAUGACAAAGAACACUUUUUCAAAAGAGGAUAUGCCCGUUUUUAGGUAUUUGACUUUCAUCAUGCCUUGUCCAGUGGAAGUUGAACCUCUGCCUGCUCUUAGUCAUUUCCAGAUUAGUUUUCUUGCUUGCUUAAUCCUCCCUGUUCUUUAUCUCCUUCAGAUUUGAAUUCCCACUCAUCUUGCAAGUACUGUCUUAAGGUCAAGCUGAAAUUUCCCGUCCACUUAGGAAAAGCUUAACAUAGAGCUAAACUUGAAAAGUUGCAUUACCUGCGAUAAUGCUAGUGUGAAUUCUUUUUGCUGAAUCUGGACGUUGAAUAUGCUCAAGUUUUUUGCUGAAGAUGCUGAAGGAAUUUACUGUAGUUGCUAAAGGGAUUUGCUGAAAUGCUAAAGAUAUUUGCAUAAUGCUAAAGUUGCGAAAAGACUUAAAGUUGCGGAAAUUGCAGAAAAUGUGCACAAAGAAUUUAAGUAAUUUCUUGACUAAUUGGAAACAUUGCAAAGAUUAAAAAAAAGGUAUGACCACAGAAUAUUUUGAGAGUAUUUUGCUAAAAUGUUCGCUUUUCUAAAAUUCAAAAAUUCUAAAAAAUUCCCCAAAUCCAUAGUAGAUGCCAUAUUAACCAAACAAUCUAGUAUGUUGCUAAAAUAUUAGUUUAACUAAGAAUUAGCAUAGCAAAACCUCUGUUGAUGUCACUUUAGCCAAAAACUGCUCCACUCCAUUCUGGUGCAUCCACUUACAGACAAAUAGAUCCAUGAACGUCUUUGUUUCCCUCGUCAGAGCUGACAUCUGGAUCUAAACUGUACAGCUGGAUAGUCCCGAUAUAGCUUGCCAUUUUUGUUGUACUGCUAAUGUUAGGUUGAAAGUGUGAGGGGCUGUAAGCUAGUGGGAGAGCGCAUAAACAAAGAGCUUCUAGCCUUGGGGGGAGGGAAGGGGCCUGUUCCAGGCCAGCAGUCCCGCCCACAACCAGAGGUGAAUUCCUAGUACGGUCCAGCCACUCAGUGUCCUAGGGAAUAUUUUCCUGCACAUAAACUCAAACACUUUACAAAAUCAGACAAUGCAUCAUCCGAAACAAAAUUCUCAACCCAGAGUGAGCUGUGCUCAUCAGUUGUCAGAGCUUGUUAGUUGUGAUAUUUGUCUGCAAAUGUCAAACAUCAGGUUUUCUGUAUUCUGAUUAACCUGCAAAGAAAUGCUGCUUCAUUAGUCCACAGACUUUUCUUGGAAAAGGGUUUCUUUUUGUUCUUAUCACAAAAAGGGUUCUUCUUGUUGUUUAUUUUCAUGUUGGAGCUGGAAUCUUUCUUUAAGCAGCCUUUUUCUCAAUUGAUGCCCAAAACUUUUGUGAAAGUUUAAAAUCAGAAAAGUUUAGUCAAAAUAUGUUAAUAUAGUUGAAACUGCCUUUGUUUGACACAUUAAUUUUACUUUUCUAAAAACUUUUCUUCUUCACAAAUGAUUAAACAAUGAAAGGAUAACCCCUCUGAGAUUGUUCAGCUUAAUAUCACUGUAGAUGACACGCAGGCUUGUUACUGUUGUCCAAGAUAAGUAAAGAGUGACGCCAUAUUGGAAUGGUAUAAAAACAAUGAGACAUGGUUUAGCAGACACAGUAAAAUGACAAUAAAGGAAAAAACCCUGAUCAUCAUCAGUAUCAUCAUGGUAAUAAUGCUUUUGUACAAAGUACAACAAUUAAACGACAUUUCAAACUUUACAGGCUAGAAUAUAGGAAACGCAAUGCAUACCUAAUGCAUGGUUGUGAUUUCAUUCAAAUCUACUCACAGACUUAAAUUUACACAAACAGUUAUAUUCCUCGGUCUGUAUUUAUCAACAGAUCGGUGGGUAGCCGACAUCGCCGUAGAACGCUAGCGCCCGUUGUAUAUGGGCCGGUCCCCGCCCAGAUCAGCGUGACGCGGUCAGAUGGGUCAGAUCCGACUGAGAACAGUGCAGCCCGGUCGAUCAGCCUAAAUGUUCACUAUUUAGAGUAAACUCACUCAGAUCUUGUUAAAAUGUUUUCUAGAAGUUCUCCUUUAUCAGCUGACAGAAAUCAUUUACUUGUGGAAGUCUCAUUCUUGUUUUUCCAUAUAUGUUUGUACAAUUGUAACACAGCAGUAAACAGACAUCUAAACAGACAUCCAAUAUGGCGUCCAAAUUUGCAAGCUAGGAUGCCACCUCUAGUGACAUAUGACAUAUAACUAAAAGAGUCAAGGUCUCACAUCAACGUGACUGAAACAGGGAUGAUAGUGUUAUGUUGGUGUGUUCAGUGACUCUAAGAACAUCUCACAAAAAAGUAUUAACUCCAGUUGCAAAGCAAUUCCAUGUCUGUAGAAUCCUGAGGUGUCCUUGGUUGGUGGUAUAAUCUGUACGUCUGUUCAGGUUUUAUUAAAUGAGUUAGGAUAUGGAUAUUGUGUAUUAAUAGAAUUAAAGGAGCUGGUUAGGAGCAGAAGAUUUUUUUAUUCAAACAAACCUUGGAACUGAAAGAGGAGAGUUAUCAUGUUGAGAUUUCUGCUUUUCUUACAGGUUUGUGUCUGCACAGCUGAACAGAAACACCAUUUUUAGUCUCUUCAAUUCAUAAUAAAAUAAACUUUUCUCAUUAGUCUUUUUUUCAGCCUGUCUGUGUUCCCGUUGGUGUGUAAAACCAUCUCAGUAUCUGUUGAAAAGUUUAGUCAUGAAAAGCUAAUUACCUCAAAACGAUUAGGCCCCAUCAGCUUAACUACAGCACAAUUGAUUCAAAAAGAUCAAUAACAACGCAAGCAUAAACUUCACUCGUGCAAGCAUUGUUUUGGAAUUAGACUUUAAGUGGACAAUUUCAAGAAGCAGGUUCAACAAAUUCAGAGUUAAAACCUGCACUCAGGGUUGACUGUCUCAGAGUUUGUAAAUUCAACUCUGAGUAGUUGGACUCAGAAUCAGGUGCAAACGGGAACAAACACUUUUAGAGCUUCAUGCUUCACGGUGACAGAAAUUGAUGUGUUCCUACAAGCAUAUCCCAACUACGAGCACAUUUUCCACAAAAAGAGCAACACAGCUACGGCAGGAUAACAGAGAGAAAAAAUAUCUCUGUUAAUCUCUUACAUGGCGGCGUCUCGAGUGUUUGAGGUUUAUAGAUUUCCGUUGUUAAGGGUUUAAAUAGAGGAAAAGAAAACUCAGCAUUAUUAAUACGAGUCCCUGGAAAAACAGUAUCACUCAAAUAAAAAUGAAUUGGGACAUGCCAGGCAAUCGACUCGUGUCCUCAAAAUCCAUUUCCUGAUGUAAAUGAGCACUUUAAGAAGGGGCGGAGACCGCAGGGAACUCUGAGUUUCCUGAAGGAAACCUGCUCCAGACCAGGUUAGGUUCACAGAGUCAGUUGCCAUAGUGAUGAACUCUUAGUUCAGCUUACCCCACUUUGAGAAACGGAUUUGGUUUAACCCACUUUCCCGGUUUAAGUUACCUCCGUUUCUGAAACCAGACAUUAAGAGUUUUCCUUAACUCUGAGUUCACAAACUCAGAGUUUCAUCAACACCUGCUUCUGGAAACGGGCCCCAGGUGUUCAGAAUGAUGAGAUUGCUUGGUUUAAUUAACCUUAACUGCAGUCACACAUGUUGGAGCAGCAGCAGCAACAUUUUCCAGCAAAUUCUGCUCCUUAGUUCUUUUCUAUCUUUAGUCCCUCUGUCCCCGGCACGCAUGGAUCAGCCCCGCUCCUGCCUCUUUGGCUCUGGUUUGAUUGUUUCCUCACAUUUCUGACAACAAGGCUUCAGUAAGCACCUGCGCCACACACAAGAGCUACUCUGGGAUUAUAACUCCAAUUUCUCUCUAAUCACAGCUUCACCUUCAUGUGAGACCUCCAUCAGCACCCCACCCCCCCAGCGUUCAUAACACUUCACUGUAUUGCUUGUUGAUCUUCUAUCAGCGAGGAUGUACUUUCUUUCAUCCUUAAACUUCAGGAACCAGCAUUUGCUUCACAGCCCUCUUCUGAAGCAGCUGUUGUUGGAUCUGAAGCAGGUCUCGCCUGAAGCUUUACUGCUCAGCAUCAGUGUUUGUUUAAGGAGCUUCUGUCAUCUGGUUAGUGACCCUACAGAAGGUUGUGCAUUAAGGACUUUCUUCUGUGAUUUAGGUCAUCAUGUGGUCAUCAGCACAACUACAUGCAAUAUCCACUUAUCUUAAUCUGCAUGUGCUUCCGACCAAAGACGCUUACCUUGAGCAGAGCACGACUUCUGCAGGAGCUGGACAUGACAUCCAUUCUAGUGAAAGACUCAUGGGGACAUCUAGUGACAGAAAAUAUAUUGAAGUCGAGGGGAGCCAACAGUCCAGCGAAUUUAUGCCGUGAGCUGAAGCAGACCGACCAAACUGUGAAAAACGUCUUGGAUUUCAUCAGGUAAACUGAAUGUUUAAAAUAUUUCAAGUGUUUGGAAGUUUCUUUAUUUGAUUUACAGUUUAUUAAUGUUUUAUUUGUUGAUGGUGGCUUGCAGGAUCUCUGCAGAUUACGUUGAUGAAGCCGUCGAUAUCCGCGCAGCUGUUCACUUCCAGUCAUUUCUUCCUCCGCGACAGACCAGAUCUCCUCUAACUCUGUGCUGCUUCCGUCUGAAGAGGACUAGUUUUCUGAAUUUUCAAUGUUCUUGUGCUAAUGUA
Long non-coding RNA from Oryzias melastigma (Indian medaka), 5118 nucleotides. RefSeq lists it as uncharacterized. The record is from RefSeq and is a predicted model, not a curated record. The transcript has 3 exons. Lineage: Eukaryota; Metazoa; Chordata; Actinopteri; Beloniformes; Adrianichthyidae.